GAUGAACGCUGGCGGCGUGCUUAACACAUGCAAGUCGAACGGAAAGGCCCAAGCUUGCUUGGGUACUCGAGUGGCGAACGGGUGAGUAACACGUGGGUGAUCUGCCCUGCACUUCGGGAUAAGCCUGGGAAACUGGGUCUAAUACCGGAUAGGACCACAUUUUGGAUGGUGUGGUGGAAAGUUUUUCGGUGUGGGAUGAGCUCGCGGCCUAUCAGCUUGUUGGUGGGGUAAUGGCCUACCAAGGCGUCGACGGGUAGCCGGCCUGAGAGGGUGUACGGCCACAUUGGGACUGAGAUACGGCCCAGACUCCUACGGGAGGCAGCAGUGGGGAAUAUUGCACAAUGGGCGCAAGCCUGAUGCAGCGACGCCGCGUGGGGGAUGACGGCCUUCGGGUUGUAAACUCCUUUCGCUAGGGACGAAGCGCAAGUGACGGUGCCUGGAGAAGAAGCACCGGCUAACUACGUG
Molecule: ribosomal RNA, 465 nt
Filed under: uncultured bacterium
Lineage: Bacteria
Description: partial 16S ribosomal RNA
Rfam family: Bacterial small subunit ribosomal RNA
Source: RNAcentral